This 269-nucleotide ribosomal RNA is filed under the name uncultured prokaryote. Its description in RNAcentral is "partial 16S ribosomal RNA". It matches the Rfam family "Bacterial small subunit ribosomal RNA", at positions 524 to 792 of the family's 1533-position model. The record is from RNAcentral.
UACGGAGGAUCCGAGCGUUAUCCGGAUUUAUUGGGUUUAAAGGGUGCUCAGGCGGGCCAUUAAGUCGGCGGUGAAAUUUUGCGGCUCAACCGUAAAAGUGCCUUCGAUACUGGUGGUCUUGAGUGUGGAUGAAGUAGGCGGAAUUUGUGGUGUAGCGGUGAAAUGCUUAGAUAUCACGAGGAACUCCGAUUGCGCAGGCAGCUUACUAAACCACUACUGACGCUCAUGCACGAAGGCGUGGGGAUCAAACAGGAUUAGAUACCCUGGUA